Molecule: long non-coding RNA, 1390 nt
Organism: Nelumbo nucifera (sacred lotus)
Lineage: Eukaryota; Viridiplantae; Streptophyta; Magnoliopsida; Proteales; Nelumbonaceae
Source: RefSeq, a predicted model, not a curated record
CGUUGCUAUUUGAUUGCGCGGGUAUUUUCUAAAUUUUGGCACCAGGAGCCCGCGCGGCCGCGCAUUCAUUACUGCUUCCACUUCUCUUGGUCUUCCAUUCUCUCAGUAUCUCUUCUCUCUCUCUCUCUCUCUCUCUUUCUUGCUCACUGGUUAUCUACUCUGUUAUUCGUGCUCCACGCUAUUCAUUUCUUGGUGUCCAAGGAUUCACAAGAUAGUUAUGUUUUCAUCCGGUUUGUUGGAAGGAAUGGAAUCAGAGUAGGCCUUCUCCCUUGUAGAUUCUUCUCCCGUCAGUGGAAGCCAGGUUACGUGAUCAAGAGGAGUGGAAUCAGCUUGAAAGGAACAUAAGAGAAAGAGAUGAUGCAGUAGGAACACAAAAGUUAUCACUCAGCUUACUGUCACCUCAGUCUAGAGAAUCAAUCUCAAUGGAGAGAGAUGAGGAAGAGGACAUGCUGUGAGGAAGAGGACAGAGAGGGGAAAUGCUCUGCAAGGAGUAAGGAUGGUGAAUAUACAUACCCAUUUGACACAGACUCCCUUGAUGAUUUUGAUGAAAGAGAGCUAGAGGAUGGGAAGGAAGAUUCUAGUGUUAGGAAGUCAUUCAGCUAUGGAAAACUGGCAUUUGCUAAUUUUGCUGGGGGAUCAUUUUACUUUGACAAGAGGAUCAAUGGGGAUUAUAAGGACACUUGAUUUACUACAGCAACCACAAAUCAUAUGUGGGCUGCUUGCAUGUUGAGGACCCAGUGGCAUUAGUUGAUCAGUCCAGUUCAAAGCAAAGCAUCCUGGCUUGGAGGAAGAGGAAGCUGAGCUUCAGCUCUCCUAAGCCUAAAGGGGAGCCACUGUUGAAGAAAGCGUAUGCAGAAGAGGGUGGGGACGACAUUGAUUUUGACCGCAGGCAGCUUAGCUCAUCUGAUGAGUCCUUUUCUCUAGGGGUAAGCAUCCACCCUUAGGAAUGGAGAUUUUUCCAUAUUAUUUACAACAAUCAAAAACAAAUUACUGAACAUUCAAAAGUUGUUUUGAGCAUUCAAAAAUCAGAUUACAAUAAUUUUUUAUUUCCCAUUUUUAGUUAUGAAAUUAUUCAAACUUUUGAAUCCUAAGAAGCUAGCAAUCAUUUGACAGUGGCACAAGAUUGAUGAAUUGCAAAUUGCUCCUCAGUGACUGAAUUUGGGGAUGGCAAUUUUGUUGUGGGAAGCUGGGAACAUCCUUAUGUAUUUAUUCUUUUUGGCAGACCUAAGAUUAUGAUCCAAAGAAAAUGUCUUGAGUGUGUUGCACAUGUAUAUAAGCAAAUGUUCAGAUGCAACGAGGAUAAUUUUGUCAAUUCUCUUUUAUUGCUUUUUUGUAAUGAAAAUACUUGUGUAAAUGUGAAUAUUAAACAAAGAUUAUUAUGGAUAUUUUG